UUCAAAUUUCUCAAGUUGUCCUCAGAGCCUGUGGCAGCUGCUGUUUUUACAGUCGGGAUCUCAUCGAGGGGCAAGCAUUGCAUUGGAUUACGAUGGUCACAUUGAAUCUAGAACAUCUAGGGGCUAUAAAAGAACGUGGGCAGAAAAAACAGGCCACCCACCAAAGGGUAAAUUACUGCACGAUCAAGUCAAGAAGCGAGGGCAGAGGCCUAUGGGAAAUGUAGUCCAAUCCAGACGGAUCACCGCGCAGCACUCUGGGAACGGGUCUUCUUCUGCGCAAGUGCCGUCCUAGCCUCGCCGCGUUUUUACGCAUCUGCAUCUUCCCGCGGAGCAGGUCCCACAACUUUCUCGGUCAGGCAGGCUGGAAGGAGCACACCUGGGGGUCCAACCGCCCUAUUCCUGGAGGGAGCCUCCUCUCCUUCUGGGAUGCUGAGACUUUGUGGAAGUGAAUUUAGAAGCCGCCGGGCAGGCCAGACCCUUCACGGUCUCCCGAGAGGUGCAGAAAAUGAACACAUCUCAGGGGUGCCACAGCAAUUCAGAGUAACAGGAACUGGAUUUGCUCUCCUGCCCGCGACAAGAAAACAUCACAGACGAAACGAGACAAAAUACGUGACGUGCAGAUUUUUCAAGAGACUGGGCAGCAGGCAGAAGAGGACGGUGAUGCCCCAGAGGACGGGAGACAAACAGGUGAGCCCUGCAGUUGCUUCCAUUUACUGCCGGAGAGAGUUUCCAAGUGAAACACGGGGAGGAGAAACCGAAGAGGAGCCCAGUGGACCUCGAGUUGAGGACACUGAGCCGAGACGCGGUGGCCACGGUGACCAGAGGCCACAGGACAGAGUUCCAGAGAGGAGAGAGCUGCAGAAAGCCAGUCAGGAACGUCUGUCCAGGGGGCCCCUCCAGCGUGCAACACGGUAG
This 915-nucleotide long non-coding RNA is filed under the name Felis catus (domestic cat). RNAcentral's name for it is "lncRNA (ENSFCAG00000041057.2)". Lineage: Eukaryota; Metazoa; Chordata; Mammalia; Carnivora; Felidae. The record is from RNAcentral.